Long non-coding RNA from Centropristis striata (black sea bass), 987 nucleotides. RefSeq lists it as uncharacterized. The transcript is spliced from 3 exons. The record is from RefSeq and is a predicted model, not a curated record. Lineage: Eukaryota; Metazoa; Chordata; Actinopteri; Perciformes; Serranidae.
GACCUUGUGGUGUAAUGGUAAGGUUACGGGCUAUGAGCUCCGUCUUUUUUUUAAUAUAUUAAUUUAAUUUCACUUUAUUUUAGUAGAAACUUGACAGUGUCUUUUAAUUUUAUAUUUUUCAGAGGGAUGCACCUGUUUUUAUCUGUUAUCAGAAUAAAUGGCCGGAUGCCAAUCAGAAGCUCUGAGCUUUAUAGGUAAUUGGAUUUCUGCUUUGGUGAUGUGUUGAAUAGCUGAGGUAUGUUGUUAACCUCAUGGCUUCAUCCCUCAACAGCUCCAGGGUUUGGCUACGAUCCUUCAGCACCAGGCCGGGCACCAUGCUUGCGUCACUGAAGGAGUAUGUGUUGAGGAGGGACCGCAAGGCACGUCCUCCUCCACAGCCUUCAGGGUCCUUCCCCAGAUCUCCACCGGGCAAGCAGAGCAGAAUUUCAAAGUCCUGAGAGGAAAGGAGGCAAAAAGAAGGGGAAGAGAAGGGUUGUGUUCCCUUCCUCCUCUGACUCAGAGGGGCCUUCACACAGAAGAGAGAAGACUCCCAGUCCCACCAGCAGGCAGAGGCUGGGAUCGGUGGACCGCUCAGGCCUCGGCUGCAGAAGAGGAGGAGGACACAGUGUCUCUCUCUGACUGGUCUGGCAGCAGCAAUACACAAUGGGUAGGCUGCUGUCCUGUUCCCUGCUACUCAGUCACCUUUAACUCAUCAUACUUACAUUUAGGCCUGGGCCGAUAAUCAAUAAAUCAAUUAUUCGCACGAUAAAUUAAAUGAACUCAAUCAUUUUGCCGGCCUCGAUAUAUCGCCAUGCGCAUGCGUGUUUGUUUUCCUCGUCUGUUGCCUCCAAGCAGGCUGGAUGACAAGAGGGUUCACUCUGUGCUCGAUCUCAGCACCUGGGCGCUUUUGUUCCAUAGCAGAAUGAGCGGAGUGAACCCUCCUGUCAGUCAUCCAGUCUCUUUGUCUCUGUGGAGAAGGCUGGGCCGCUAGCAUUGGCUACACACAGA